RNAcentral lists this ribosomal RNA (326 nucleotides) under uncultured Bacteroidota bacterium. RNAcentral's name for it is "bacterial SSU rRNA". It matches the Rfam family "Bacterial small subunit ribosomal RNA", at positions 28 to 351 of the family's 1533-position model. Lineage: Bacteria; Pseudomonadati; Bacteroidota. The record is from RNAcentral.
GAUGAACGCUAGCGGCAGGCUUAAUACAUGCAAGUCGAGGGGUAACAGGUGUAGCAAUACAUGCUGACGACCGGCGCACGGGUGCGUAACGCGUAUGCAACUUACCUCUAACUGGAGAAUAGCCCCGAGAAAUCGGGAUUAAUACUCCAUAACAUUUAUCAUUCGCAUGUUUGAUAAAUUAAAGCUCCGGCGGUUAGAGAUGGGCAUGCGUGACAUUAGCUAGUUGGUGAGGUAACGGCUCACCAAGGCUGCGAUGUCUAGGGGUUCUGAGAGGACAACCCCCCACACUGGUACUGAGACACGGACCAGACUCCUACGGGUGGCUG